AGAGUUUGAUCCUGGCUCAGAACGAACGCUGGCGGCAGGCUUAACACAUGCAAGUCGAACGCACCGCAAGGUGAGUGGCAGACGGGUGAGUAACGCGUGGGAACGUGCCCUUCAGUUCGGGAUAACCCAGGGAAACUUGGGCUAAUACCGGAUACGCCCUUUGGGGGAAAGAUUGAUCGCUGAAGGAUCGGCCCGCGUCUGAUUAGCUAGUUGGUGGGGUGAUGGCUCACCAAGGCGACGAUCAGUAGCUGGUCUGAGAGGAUGAUCAGCCACACUGGGACUGAGACACGGCCCAGACUCCUACGGGAGGCAGCAGUGGGGAAUAUUGGACAAUGGGCGCAAGCCUGAUCCAGCCAUGCCGCGUGAGUGAUGAAGGCCCUAGGGUUGUAAAGCUCUUUCGCACGCGACGAUAAUGACGGUAGCGUGAGAAGAAGCCCCGGCUAACUUCGUGCCAGCAGCCGCGGUAAUACGAAGGGGGCUAGCGUUGCUCGGAAUCACUGGGCGUAAAGGGCGCGUAGGCGGCCGAUCAAGUCGGGGGUGAAAGCCUGUGGCUCAACCACAGAAUGGCCUUCGAUACUGGUUGGCUCGAGACCGGAAGAGGUGAGUGGAACUGCGAGUGUAGAGGUGAAAUUCGUAGAUAUUCGCAAGAACACCAGUGGCGAAGGCGGCUCACUGGUCCGGUUCUGACGCUGAGGCGCGAAAGCGUGGGGAGCAAACAGGAUUAGAUACCCUAGUAGUCC
This 740-nucleotide ribosomal RNA is filed under the name uncultured bacterium. RNAcentral's name for it is "bacterial SSU rRNA". It matches the Rfam family "Bacterial small subunit ribosomal RNA", at positions 8 to 796 of the family's 1533-position model. The record is from RNAcentral.